RNAcentral lists this small RNA (2959 nucleotides) under Pan troglodytes (chimpanzee). RNAcentral describes it as "processed transcript". The record is from RNAcentral. Lineage: Eukaryota; Metazoa; Chordata; Mammalia; Primates; Hominidae.
CUUGUUCUCCUUGACACUCUCCUGCCUUUGAUCUUGUGUACUGUUCUCUCUUGAUUCUCCUACUACCUCUCAAGUUACUGUUUGUCUCACAUAUUCCCUCAGCCUUCUCAUUGUAGGGACAUCACAAAGCUAAGGGUUUUUUGGUGUAGUAAUGGACCCUCAAGUUAAGGAUGAGAAGGUUUGUGUGUACUACAGCUGGAAAGGUGUUAGGAACCAAGCAAGCAGCUCUAGGGGCCAGCUACUUUGUCUCACACACCACAUGGUAUGCCCCUUUCCUGGUCUUUCUGCUUCUAUCAUUCUUCAUUCUGGCUGGCUUAUUUGCUCACUUAUGGUUUACAAACUCUGGCUUACGAAUGACAUCAGUUUACCAUCAACCUGUUCUUCCUCAUGGCAUCUUUUCAGCUUCAACUAAUUGGCAUUUCUUUCCAUGCUUCUUUGCCUAGAGAGAGAAUCUGACCAACACAGUUGAUCACUUGUAGGUAGAUGACACUGGUUUCUGGUUGGCUCCUAUAUGGAUGGAUCAUUGGUGAGUCCAGUACCUACUCUGAAUCUAAUCAGCUUUUAUAUUGACUUAGGGAUGUGCCUAUGGCUUCCCCUUUGGCAGGGACUGUAAGCAGGGCAACUCCCUUUAGAGGGGCCUGUGGGAUGUCCAAAACAACAACAACACAACAAAUACCCCCCCAUCCAAACAAACAAAAAAAGUAUCUUUUAUUGUUAAAGAGGAAAUAGGAAAUUUAAAAAUAAAAGAAAUAGAGGGGGCUGUGGGAGAACAGGCAUUGCAGAAUACAUCUCUGCUUUCCUUCUGUAUUCUAAGCUUCAAUAUUUCAUGACUUUCUAAUCUACACUCAUUUCUCUUCAGAGGUUUUGCUUUGCAUCUUCUAGCUAACUGUGGAAUUAACAUAUCCACCUGGUUGUCUCUCUGUCACCUCAAAGUUAGCGAGUUUAAAAAUGAGGCCAGGCGCAGUGCCUUAUGCCGGUAAUCCUAACACUUUGGGAAGCCAAGGCGGGCGGAUCACUUGAGGUCAGGAGUUCAAGACCAGCCUGGCAAACAAGCUGUCCAGACCAAAACGAAGAAGACGUUAGCCAAACCCAAUAUAAGGAAUGUUGUGGUGGUGGAUGGUGUUCGCACUCCAUUUUUGCUGUCUGGCACUUCAUAUAAAGACCUGAUGCCACAUGAUUUGGCUAGAGCAGCGCUUACGGGUUUGUUGCAUCGGACCAGUGUCCCUAAGGAAGUAGUUGAUUAUAUCAUCUUUGGUACAGUUAUUCAGGAAGUGAAAACAAGCAAUGUGGCUAGAGAGGCUGCCCUUGGAGCUGGCUUCUCUGACAAGACUCCUGCUCACACUGUCACCAUGGCUUGUAUCUCUGCCAACCAAGCCAUGACCACAGGUGUUGGCUUGAUUGCUUCUGGCCAGUGUGAUGUGAUCGUGGCAGGUGGUGUUGAGUUGAUGUCCGAUGUCCCUAUUCGUCACUCAAGGAAAAUGAGAAAACUGAUGCUUGAUCUCAAUAAGGCCAAAUCUAUGGGCCAGCGACUGUCUUUAAUCUCUAAAUUCCGAUUUAAUUUCCUAGCACCUGAGCUCCCUGCGGUUUCUGAGUUCUCCACCAGUGAGACCAUGGGCCACUCUGCAGACCGACUGGCCGCUGCCUUUGCUGUUUCUCGGCUGGAACAGGAUGAAUAUGCACUGCGCUCUCACAGUCUAGCCAAGAAGGCACAGGAUGAAGGACUCCUUUCUGAUGUGGUACCCUUCAAAGUACCAGGAAAAGAUACAGUUACCAAAGAUAAUGGCAUCCGUCCUUCCUCACUGGAGCAGAUGGCCAAACUAAAACCUGCAUUCAUCAAGCCCUACGGCACAGUGACAGCUGCAAAUUCUUCUUUCUUGACUGAUGGCGCAUCUGCAAUGUUAAUCAUGGCGGAGGAAAAGGCUCUGGCCAUGGGUUAUAAGCCGAAGGCAUAUUUGAGGUAAAGUAAAUGUUCAAACAAAUCAUCUCUGAUUUCUUUAUUUUAUUACCAAAGCUCACCUCUCUAUUUUUUUACCUAGGGAUUUUAUGUAUGUGUCUCAGGAUCCAAAAGAUCAACUAUUACUUGGACCAACAUAUGCUACUCCAAAAGUUCUAGAAAAGGCAGGAUUGACCAUGAAUGAUAUUGAUGCUUUUGAAUUUCAUGAAGCUUUCUCGGGUCAGAUUUUGGCAAAUUUUAAAGCCAUGGAUUCUGAUUGGUUUGCAGAAAACUACAUGGGUAGAAAAACCAAGGUUGGAUUGCCUCCUUUGGAGAAGUUUAAUAACUGGGGUGGAUCUCUGUCCCUGGGACACCCAUUUGGAGCCACUGGCUGCAGGUUGGUCAUGGCUGCUGCCAACAGAUUACGGAAAGAAGGAGGCCAGUAUGGCUUAGUGGCUGCGUGUGCAGCUGGAGGGCAGGGCCAUGCUAUGAUAGUGGAAGCUUAUCCAAAGUAAUAGAUCCAGAAGAAGUGACCUGAAGUUUCUGUGCAACACUCACACUAGGCAAUGCCAUUUCAAUGCAUUACUAAAUGACAUUUGUAGUUCCUAGCUCCUCUUAGGAAAACAGUUCUUGUGGCCUUCUAUUAAAUACUUUGCACUUAAGCCUUGCCAGUGUUCUGAGCUUUUCAAUAAUCAGUUUACUGCUUUUUCAGGGAUUUCUAAGCCACCAGAAUCUCACAUGAGUUGUGUGGGUGGUUGUUUUUGGUCUCUGUUGUCACUAAAGACUAAAUGAGUGUUUGCAGUUGGGAAAGAGGUCAACUGAGAUUUGGAAAUCAUCUUUGUAAUAUUUGCAAAUUAUACUUGUUCUUAUCUGUGUCCUAAAGAUGUGUUCUCUAUAAAAUACAAACCAACGUGCCUAAUUAAUUAUGGAAAAAUAAUUCAGAAUCUAAACACCACUGAAAACUUAUAAAAAAUGUUUAGAUACAUAAAUAUGGUGGUCAACGUUAAUAAAGUGGAGAAAUAUUGG